GACGAACGCUGGCGGCGUGCUUAACACAUGCAAGUCGAACGGAAAGGCCCUGCUUUUGUGGGGUGCUCGAGUGGCGAACGGGUGAGUAACACGUGAGUAACCUGCCCUUGACUUUGGGAUAACUUCAGGAAACUGGGGCUAAUACCGGAUAGGAGCUCCUGCUGCAUGGUGGGGGUUGGAAAGUUUCGGCGGUUGGGGAUGGACUCGCGGCUUAUCAGCUGGUUGGUGGGGUAGUGGCUUACCAAGGCUUUGACGGGUAGCCGGCCUGAGAGGGUGACCGGCCACAUUGGGACUGAGAUACGGCCCAGACUCCUACGGGAGGCAGCAGUGGGGAAUAUUGCAGAAUGGGCGGAAGCCUGAUGCAGCAACGCCGCGUGCGGGAUGACGGCCUUCGGGUUGUAAACCGCUUUCGCCUGUGACGAAGCGUGAGUGACGGUAAUGGGUAAAGAAGCACCGGCUAACUACGUG
RNAcentral lists this ribosomal RNA (468 nucleotides) under uncultured bacterium. Its description in RNAcentral is "partial 16S ribosomal RNA". It matches the Rfam family "Bacterial small subunit ribosomal RNA", at positions 28 to 507 of the family's 1533-position model. The record is from RNAcentral.